GCUCAGAACGAACGCUGGCGGCAGGCUUAACACAUGCAAGUCGAACGCCCCGCAAGGGGAGUGGCAGACGGGUGAGUAACGCGUGGGAAUCUACCGUGCCCUGCGGAAUAGCUCCGGGAAACUGGAAUUAAUACCGCAUACGCCCUACGGGGGAAAGAUUUAUCGGGGUAUGAUGAGCCCGCGUUGGAUUAGCUAGUUGGUGGGGUAAAGGCCUACCAAGGCGACGAUCCAUAGCUGGUCUGAGAGGAUGAUCAGCCACAUUGGGACUGAGACACGGCCCAAACUCCUACGGGAGGCAGCAGUGGGGAAUAUUGGACAAUGGGCGCAAGCCUGAUCCAGCCAUGCCGCGUGAGUGAUGAAGGCCUUAGGGUUGUAAAGCUCUUUCACCGGAGAAGAUAAUGACGGUAUC
RNAcentral lists this ribosomal RNA (409 nucleotides) under Agrobacterium tumefaciens. RNAcentral's name for it is "bacterial SSU rRNA". It matches the Rfam family "Bacterial small subunit ribosomal RNA", at positions 22 to 479 of the family's 1533-position model. The record is from RNAcentral. Lineage: Bacteria; Pseudomonadati; Pseudomonadota; Alphaproteobacteria; Hyphomicrobiales; Rhizobiaceae.